This 498-nucleotide ribosomal RNA is filed under the name Cohnella sp. ARS-12. Its description in RNAcentral is "bacterial SSU rRNA". It matches the Rfam family "Bacterial small subunit ribosomal RNA", at positions 88 to 573 of the family's 1533-position model. The record is from RNAcentral. Lineage: Bacteria; Bacillati; Bacillota; Bacilli; Caryophanales; Paenibacillaceae.
UUGGUUAGUGGCGGACGGGUGAGUAACACGUAGGCAACCUGCCCACAAGAUCGGGAUAACAUUCGGAAACGAAUGCUAAGACCGGAUAAACAAUUUGGUCGCAUGGCUAAGUUGGGAAACACGGUGUAAGCUGUGGCUUGUGGAUGGGCCUGCGGCGCAUUAGCUAGUUGGUGGGGUAACGGCUCACCAAGGCGACGAUGCGUAGCCGACCUGAGAGGGUGAACGGCCACACUGGGACUGAGACACGGCCCAGACUCCUACGGGAGGCAGCAGUAGGGAAUCUUCCACAAUGGGCGAAAGCCUGAUGGAGCAACGCCGCGUGAGUGAGGAAGGCUUUCGGGUCGUAAAGCUCUGUUGCCAGGGAAGAAUAAGAAUAUGUUAACUGCAUAUUCGAUGACGGUACCUGAGAAGAAAGCCCCGGCUAACUACGUGCCAGCAGCCGCGGUAAUACGUAGGGGGCAAGCGUUGUCCGGAUUUAUUGGGCGUAAAGCGCGCGCA